ACCAAUCAGAGACAAUGUGAUCUGAUCGUUUGUGUUGGCCACCCUGACAAGUUGGCGUCUCUAAAAAUCCAAGAGGCAGUGAAGCAGCAGUCCUCAGAGGUGUGAAUAAAGGAGAAUGAGAAGGUGCAACAUCUGACCUUGUUGACCUCCCGAAGAGCAGCCUCAGCUUGGUGUCUUGUCAACUUUCCUCCAUACCAACUCGAAUCCAAGCCCUGAGCGCACCAUGAUAGAACAGUCAGUGUAAGUGUAGCGCUAUCACAGACAGUUCCAGUUAGACUAGUUAAUAAAAGGCAGUUUAUAAGAUAUAAGCAUCUCUGUUGUUCUUUUUCUUUGUACAGCAUUGUGAUCUGCUGUUUCCUUUCUGAAAGUGCUCAUGAUCUAUAAAUAAAACCUUAAUUGGA
Haplochromis burtoni (Burton's mouthbrooder) is the source of this 401-nucleotide long non-coding RNA. RefSeq lists it as uncharacterized. NCBI's taxonomy places the organism in Eukaryota, Metazoa, Chordata, Actinopteri, Cichliformes, Cichlidae. The record is from RefSeq and is a predicted model, not a curated record. The transcript is spliced from 2 exons.